GAUGAACGCUGGCGGCGUGCCUAAUACAUGCGAGUCGAGCGAACGGACGAGAAGCUUGCUUCUCUGAUGUUAGCGGCGGACGGGUGAGUAACACGUGGAUAACCUACCUAUAAGACUGGGAUAACUUCGGGAAACCGGAGCUAAUACCGGAUAAUAUUUUGAACCGCAUGGUUCAAAAGUGAAAGACGGUCUUGCUGUCACUUAUAGAUGGAUCCGCGCUGCAUUAGCUAGUUGGUAAGGUAACGGCUUACCAAGGCAACGAUGCAUAGCCGACCUGAGAGGGUGAUCGGCCACACUGGAACUGAGUCACGGUCCAGACUCCUACGGGGACCAGCAGUAGGGAAUCUUCCGCAAUGGGCGAAAGCCUGACGGAGCAACGCCGCGUGAGUGAUGAAGGUCUUCGGAUCGUAAAACUCUGUUAUUAGGGAAGGACAUAUGUGUAAGUAACUGUGCACAUCUUGACGGUACCUAAACAGAAAGCCACGGCUAACUACGUG
This 497-nucleotide ribosomal RNA is filed under the name uncultured bacterium. Its description in RNAcentral is "partial 16S ribosomal RNA". It matches the Rfam family "Bacterial small subunit ribosomal RNA", at positions 28 to 507 of the family's 1533-position model. The record is from RNAcentral.